Monodelphis domestica (gray short-tailed opossum) is the source of this 1582-nucleotide long non-coding RNA. Lineage: Eukaryota; Metazoa; Chordata; Mammalia; Didelphimorphia; Didelphidae. The record is from Ensembl.
CCCCCAUUGCCUACCCUUUAGCACCCUUUUACCUUGGAACCAAUACACAGUAUUGAUUUUAAGACAGAAGGGAAGGGUUUAAAAAAAGAAAAAGAAAAGAUCUUAUCCAUUCCAAUAAAAGUUUUAGCUUCCUUUUUACUUUUAACUCAUUAAGACUCAAUUUAUUUAUGGUCUCUUUUUUAAUAUUCAUUAUGGAAUGCAAAAUAGUUUCUCUUGUUUGCAUCUAUACCAUGGAAAUAACCCAUGUAGAGAAGUGAACAGUACUAACCUAUCAUGAUUCCAAAUGUUUCAGAUUCACAGCCAGCCAUCGAAUCCAAUCUGUGCUUGAACAGAGUGAAGAAUCUCUUCUCCAACACAGAUGAAAUUAAUUCAAAGACAGGUCCAUGAGAAAGUUAACCAGGACUUGACAAAAAGCAAGCCAUGAUGUGACAAACCCUGAGUGGUCCCUCAGUCUACCACCCCAGGGGAUGGAAUGCUGUGUUUGGUAAAGGAAGAGACAAUUUCUAGCUUGUAGUCUUCCCUCGACUCUUCAGAAUUGAUGGAGCUUGAGUCCUGUUGGUGAACACUAGAGAAUGCUCACAAAACAAAGCAGGUCGAGAGAUUGAAGAAGAGGAAAGAGAAGUCUUCAACCAAAGGCUCAAGGAAUGCACCCAAAGAAAAACCAGGUCAGAAAGGUCCAUAGACCAGGAGAAGGGUAAGAACAAGAGAGAGGUGAGGGCCAGGAGAGCUGGUCAGAGGCGUGAAAGGCUGACUGAAAGCUUUGAAUGGGAAAGUUUUGAGUUGGAGUGUGAGAGCCUGAGUGUUCAAUUGAGAGUCUGAGUAACUGCUUUAAGUUGAUUAAAAGAGAGAAAGUUUCUUCAUGAAUUGAGAUACAAUGGUUUGAGGUUUAAAUGGUUACAAAGUUUUGCAAAAAGCUUCUCAUAGAAGCUUAAGAACUUAAGUUGUGGAUUUCUACUCAAAUUUUUCUGUGGGCUUUUGCUUGUAUUAUAUGUGUAAUGGAUUUCUUAGGCUGAGAUGCUAAUAAUCUCAAAUGCUUGUGAUUUAAAUGUAAGCAAAUAAUGUCUGUAAGUUGUGUUAAUGGAUUCCUCCCAAAAGCUGAAGAGGCGAGACCAGAGCUGGUGAUCCAGCGGGAGGCAAAAGGAGGUUCAGAAAUUCUUAACUUUAAGGCCUAAUUUUUCUUCCCAAAGUUUUGGUCUUCUUAACGUAUGAAAUAUUGUGUAUCAAGCACAGUUAAUAUUGGUAAUAAGAUGCAUUUUAUUCUAGGUACUAACCAGGUUUUUUGAGUGCUACAAUUUCAGUCUUUUUCAAGCUGUUAAUUGUUUUCAAAUAGGAAGGUAUGUGUGAGUUCUGGAGUAAAGAAAGUUCAUUUUAGGAUGGUUAACUACAGACCUGACUGGUCAUUGAAUUGGUGUAAAUGACAAGAAAUAUUAGGGAAAAGGUAUUGCUUUAAAGGGCAAGGAAACCCUGAACAUUUUAAACUGACCAACAAAUUUCUUCUUUAGGAGUGGCUUUAGCCUUAGGCCAAAGUGAUUUGAGGCAAGGAUAAGAAAGGCUAAAUUGGAGCAAAAAAAAUAGAAAAGGG